GGUGAACGCUGGCGGCGUGCCUAACACAUGCAAGUCGAACGAGAACGGAUUGUAGUUUACUAUGAUUGUCAGCUAAGUGGCGCACGGGUGAGUAAUGUAUAGUUAAUCUGCCCUAGAGAGAGGGAUAACAUUUGGAAACGGAUGCUAAGACCUCAUAUGCCUUUAAAACAUAAGUUUGCAAGGGAAAUAUUUAUAGCUCUAGGAUGAGACUGUAUGGUAUCAGUUAGUUGGUGAGGUAAUGGCUCACCAAGACAAUGACACCUAACUGGUUUGAGAGGAUGAUCAGUCACACUGGAACUGAGACACGGUCCAG
Molecule: ribosomal RNA, 313 nt
Filed under: uncultured Arcobacter sp.
Lineage: Bacteria; Pseudomonadati; Campylobacterota; Epsilonproteobacteria; Campylobacterales; Arcobacteraceae
Description: bacterial SSU rRNA
Rfam family: Bacterial small subunit ribosomal RNA
Source: RNAcentral